Molecule: ribosomal RNA, 680 nt
Filed under: uncultured bacterium
Lineage: Bacteria
Description: bacterial SSU rRNA
Rfam family: Bacterial small subunit ribosomal RNA
Source: RNAcentral
UUUCGGUCAAAAUGUGGAACUGAGAGAAAUCGGCCAAGACUCCUAACGGAGCAGCAGUGGGGAAUUUGACAAUGGCGGAAAGCUGAUCCAGCCAUGCGCGUGAGUGAAGAAGCUUCGGGUGUAAAGCUCUUCAGGUGGAAAGAAAACGCAUAGGUAUACGUGUGCGGAUGACGGUACCAUCAGAAGAAGCACUGGCUAACUACGUGCCAGCAGCCGCGGUAAUACGUAGGGUGCGAGCGUUAAUCGGAAUUACUGGGCGUAAAGCGUGCGCAGGCGGUUAUGUAAGACAGAUGUGAAAUCCCCGGGCUCAACCUGGGAACUGCGUUUGUGACUGCAUAACUAGAGUACGGCAGAGGGAGGUGGAAUUCCGCGUGUAGCAGUGAAAUGCGUAGAUAUGCGGAGGAACACCGAUGGCGAAGGCAGCCUCCUGGGCCAGUACUGACGCUCAUGCACGAAAGCGUGGGGAGCAAACAGGAUUAGAUACCCUGGUAGUCCACGCCCUAAACGAUGUCAACUAGUUGUUCGGUGAGGAGACUCAUUGAGUAACGCAGCUAACGCGUGAAGUUGACCGCCUGGGGAGUACGGCCGCAAGGUUAAAACUCAAAGGAAUUGACGGGGACCCGCACAAGCGGUGGAUGAUGUGGAUUAAUUCGAUGCAACGCGAAAAACCUUACCUACCC